UUGGCUACUAAUGUUCAGUACUUCAAUACAAUAAGUUGUUUCUGUAAUGCUUGAGAUGUAUUAAUACUUUAUCUAUGUUUGGAUGUAAUAUGCUCAUUCAAAGUGAAACAGUUAUUUAGAGUGUAGGCUCAGGAGGAGGUCCACAAUGCUUCACCGGGGAGUUUACAUAGGUCCAUGAUCAAAGCUGCCCAACAGGUGCAGGUGCAGGUCACAAUCCUGCCUUCCCUACCCAAAAUUCAGGUGAAGUUUGCUAAGCCCACACAUGGGUAGAGCCUUCUGCAACUACAUACAGCCGCAUGUACCAAUAUAACAUAUGGUUUGAGGCACCUAUGGAUCUAAAGAAAGGGCGGGAAAGAUUAAUAUUUGAACAAAAGUAUGGGGAAGCAUUUACUUCAGCCCAUGAAUUGUUGGAUGUUUAUUUGAUUUUUAGAUAAUGCAGAUUUUGCUUAGUUUUUCAGAGUUUAUAAUUGAGAAGAUGAGCAUGUGCUCUCUCUCUCUCUGUCUUUCUUUUAUGACAUCUCAUCCUUAUCUUUUUCUAUAUUUUUAGUUCUUCAGUUUUGGGGCAUAACUUUUCUGUAUGAUGAUAUUCGUUGUAGGAUGAAUCGAUUCAUACUGUAUAUUUGAGUCCAUACUUGUCUUUUGAUUGUCAGUUUGUACAAGGUAGGUCCAUGGUUCAAGGAUCUAGAUGGCUCCAAACAUGGUUUUCAACCAUUCCUAAAUAGGGAUUUUGGUGUAGUGUUAUGUGGGUUUUAUUGUUGGAUCUAGCAAUUAUACAUUGCUUUUUUAUCAUCCUCUGGUCUGAAUUUUUAGAUAUUUUGUGGAGGGAGCAUUCAAAUCUAGACAAAUGUGUGUUUCAUAUGAUCAUUCCAAUUUGAACGAAUGUUUAAGAAUGGGUGAAAUGUGAUUGUUAAGAUUGCCUACUGACUAUGGUCUCUUAUGAUGCUCCAUCCACGGUUUGGUCUAUUGUGAGGACGGUAUUGAUUAGCGCAUUUAUGUUGCAUGUGGUAGAUGGGUUGCUGCACAUGGGUGGAAAGCAAAGGAUAUAUCACGCAGACUCUUUUAUUGUUGUUUUCAUCAUCUCAUGGCAUUCUUUAUUUUGCUAUAGGGCUAGUUUUGGAUAUACAUACUAAUCUUGUUUUCUCUUUACAGAAUAGCCAUUGUGCUUUAUGUGUAGGGUUGCCCAGAAUGGAAACUCAUUAGCUGGGGACCUGUUUACUUGCUCUUUUUCUGCCCAAAUCUCAAGCGAUAUAAGUAACUCAUUAGGUGGAGAUAGUGUUGUGGAAUAAAUUUCUACCUAUCAUUCUGUUUAGUUUGCCAGAUGAAAAUUUAGUUCUCUCAUACGUUUCAUAGCUCCUGCUACUUCACUUUCUUGUGCUAUACAAGAGAAAGAGUGUUGUACCCUUUGGUAUGGGUCAAAUCCAAUGAUAUUUAAA
This is a long non-coding RNA of Magnolia sinica, 1433 nucleotides long. RefSeq lists it as uncharacterized. The record is from RefSeq and is a predicted model, not a curated record. The transcript is spliced from 3 exons. Lineage: Eukaryota; Viridiplantae; Streptophyta; Magnoliopsida; Magnoliales; Magnoliaceae.